The sequence is a transfer RNA, 73 nucleotides long. It matches the Rfam family "tRNA". From Rfam's summary of the family: Transfer RNA (tRNA) molecules are approximately 80 nucleotides in length. Their secondary structure includes four short double-helical elements and three loops (D, anti-codon, and T loops). The record is from Rfam.
GCCGACUUAGCUCAGCUGGUAGAGCAUCGGUGUCGUAAUCCGGGGGUCACAGGUUCAAAUCCUGCAGUCGGCA